UUCUGGCCAGUUUCAUAGCGCGCGCGGCUAGCUGUGGCCCUUGGCCAUCGGGCAUCCAUCGGUGCCUCCCCACCAGCAGAGAGCAGAGAAAUUAAAAGCGCGCAUGCGCCGCCGCCGGCUUCGUCAACGGACAGAUCGAGGUCUGCGGUCUGCCCUCCUCUCCCCUUCAAACAGAAAGAGUCAAGAAAAGCGCAGGAGAGAGAGAGAGAGAAAAAAAAAAGGGCGCGGGCCGGGGCGAGGAGGAAAGUCCACCGCUCGUCGGCGACAAGUCGCUGCGAGGUUGUGAAACCGACAAUUCAUUCAUUCAUGGGAUCGGAGCAAGUUGCAGGUUGCGCGCGGAUCUCGAACUUUUCCCUUGCGGCUCCGCAGAGAUCGAUCGCGAGUGGCUGCGCUGAGGUCAAUCCCGCACGUUAUACUCGCGGGGUCUCUUAUCUUAAAAUUGCCUUUUUGGGAUUAUUAUCGAGUUAUCCAUAUCCAGCUAGCCAUGUAUGUCAUGGGUGCCACUUGUACCAAAUAAGCUAGGUAGAGCUAGGGCAGCACACGCUGCUUCCAGGCAGCUUCCGAUCGAGGGCGAGGGCCACGAAGAGCUGAGGUGUCUCAGUUCGGCUGGGUUCCACAAACACUGGCGCUUGCGGCUUCAAGUGUCACGGGACUGACACGCUCAUCAGCCACUAGCUAGCUUGUCUCUAGCUACUACUUACUUUCUCCGAUUUCCACCGCGAUCGCGAUUCACAGGCGCCGCGCAACAGUCGCCGCAGAUGAACCAGAUCCUACCUGCCCGCCCGGCCGGCGCUUUAUAGUUUUCUGGCACGCGGCACCGGGAUACAUGUCAUGUAGCCACGUUUCGCAGUUGGCACCGGGGCGCAUUAGCAGCGAAGCUUUGCACGAUGCGUCGUCAUCGUCACCGGAGGCAUGCAACUUGCCGUUUUGGCUACGGCGGUGGUCAGCUGAUCGACGACCAUGCAUGCAUAUACUAUACGUACGCCUUUAAAAGGCUCCACUGUUGGUAGCAAGGCUCUGUCGUCUGGGUCAUGCAAUACCUGAUGCUGAUGCGGCCAACCAAACACGUAGAAAGAGUCGGGAUUUCGGCCGUGUACUCCAUCAGGUGAUGUUGAGUUCGAACGUUUGCUCCCAGAUAGACCUGAACCGUGUUUUCUGAGGACCAGGACACGUUUUAUUAUGGCCCAGGGGACGACCAUAUCAUGCAUUGGAUCUCGGCAGAAUGGGCUGCAUGGCUCAACUCGAAUUCAAGCUAAGAUGCCGUUUUGUAUGCACUUUCAUGGGCUGCAUGCUAUUGCUCAGAGUGCUUUUUUCACAGCUGCUGCCAAUUUGACCGGUGUCUUUCAGGAGCACCGUUCUUCACAGAACCAACUUGAGAGAUUUCUUUCUCACAAUGCGGGAACGAUCAGCUCACAUAGACAUCUGCUCUUUGAGAUCUGGAUUUCGUCUCAUACUUCGAUGUCCCAUAUAUAUAUUAGUGUGUACUUGUACGUAUAUAAUAUGACCAUUGAAACUGUAAACUGUUUUGGGCAUCCUGUAAUUUGUAAGAACGACUCUUCUAUGCAAAUCUCCAACUUGUAGAAUGGAUUGGCUACUGUUGCAAACCAUUGUACUACAAUGGUACUGUUGCGCAUUCUUGCUUCCAACUGCACUUGCAACAGUUUUGUAUAGUUACCCAAGGACAAAAAAAAUGUGUGUUCCUUUGAGCUUUCAGCUGUCUCUAACAUAUAAUGAUUUUUCAUUCAACUCUUCCUGUUUCCCCCCUUCCAAGAAGAUAAGCAAACGAAUUUCAGGAUCUCCUAAAGACAAAAAAAA
Molecule: long non-coding RNA, 1815 nt
Organism: Zea mays
Lineage: Eukaryota; Viridiplantae; Streptophyta; Magnoliopsida; Poales; Poaceae
Exons: 2
Source: RefSeq, a predicted model, not a curated record